This 119-nucleotide ribosomal RNA is filed under the name Pteropus alecto (black flying fox). Lineage: Eukaryota; Metazoa; Chordata; Mammalia; Chiroptera; Pteropodidae. The record is from RNAcentral.
GUCUACGGCCAUGCCACCCUGAACAAGCCCGAUCCCAUCUGAUCCCGGAAGCCAUGCAGGUUCGGGCCUGGUUAGUACUUGGAUGGGAGACCACCUAGGAAGACCAGGUGCUGUAGGCA